GCUUAUCUUGCGCAGCUUAGGUGGGAGGCUAUGAACCUUUUCUUCUGGGAAGAGGGGAGCCAUCAGUGAGAUACCACUCUUGGUAAGCUAGAGCGCUCAGUCUUCACCGUCAUCCGGUAAGACGACAGUUUCAGGCGGGCAGUUUGACUGGGGCAGUCACCUCCCAAAAGGUAAUGGAGGUGUGCAAAGGUUCCCUCAGGCUGGACGGAAAUCAGCCAUAGAGUGUAAGAGCAUAAGGGAGCUUGACUGCGAGACUGACAUGUCAAGCAGAGACGAAAGUCGGCUUUAGUGAUCCGACGGUGCUGUGUGGAAAGGCCGUCGCUCAACGGAUAAAAGUUACUCUAGGGAUAAC
RNAcentral lists this ribosomal RNA (352 nucleotides) under uncultured eukaryote. Its description in RNAcentral is "LSU rRNA". It matches the Rfam family "Bacterial large subunit ribosomal RNA", at positions 2127 to 2478 of the family's 2925-position model. The record is from RNAcentral.